RNAcentral lists this ribosomal RNA (815 nucleotides) under uncultured bacterium. RNAcentral's name for it is "bacterial SSU rRNA". It matches the Rfam family "Bacterial small subunit ribosomal RNA", at positions 1 to 822 of the family's 1533-position model. The record is from RNAcentral.
GAAUUCGCCCUUAGAGUUUGAUCCUGGCUCAGGACGAACGCUGGCGGCGCGCCUAACACAUGCAAGUCGAACGGAGUUUGAGAGAGCUUGCUUUUUCAAACUUAGUGGCGAACGGGUGAGUAACGCGUGAGUAACCUGCCCUGGAGUGGGGGACAACAGUUGGAAACGACUGCUAAUACCGCAUAAGCCCACAGUGCCGCAUGGCACAGCGGGAAAAGGAUUUAUUCGCUUUAGGAUGGACUCGCGUCCAAUUAGCUAGUUAGUGAGGUAACGGCCCACCAAGGCGACGAUUGGUAGCCGGACUGAGAGGUUGAACGGCCACAUUGGGACUGAGACACGGCCCAGACUCCUACGGGAGGCAGCAGUGGGGGAUAUUGCACAAUGGGGGAAACCCUGAUGCAGCGACGCCGCGUGGAGGAAGAAGGUUUUCGGAUUGUAAACUCCUGUCGUUAGGGACGAUAAUGACGGUACCUAACAAGAAAGCACCGGCUAACUACGUGCCAGCAGCCGCGGUAAAACGUAGGGUGCAAGCGUUGUCCGGAAUUACUGGGUGUAAAGGGAGCGCAGGCGGACCGGCAAGUUGGAAGUGAAAACUAUGGGCUCAACCCAUAAAUUGCUUUCAAAACUGCUGGCCUUGAGUAGUGCAGAGGUAGGUGGAAUUCCCGGUGUAGCGGUGGAAUGCGUAGAUACCGGGAGGAACACCAGUGGCGAAGGCGACCUACUGGGCACCAACUGACGCUGAGGCUCGAAAGCAUGGGUAGCAAACAGGAUUAGAUACCCUGGUAGUCCAUGCCGUAAACGAUGAUUACUAGGUG